RNAcentral lists this ribosomal RNA (253 nucleotides) under uncultured bacterium. RNAcentral's name for it is "partial 16S ribosomal RNA". It matches the Rfam family "Bacterial small subunit ribosomal RNA", at positions 524 to 776 of the family's 1533-position model. The record is from RNAcentral.
UACGUAGGGUGCAAGCGUUGUCCGGAAUUAUUGGGCGUAAAGAGCUCGUAGGCGGUUUGUCGCGUCUGCUGUGAAAUCCCAGGGCUUAACCCUGGGCCUGCAGUGGGUACGGGCAAACUAGAGUGCGGUAGGGGAGAUCGGAAUUCCUGGUGUAGCGGUGAAAUGCGCAGAUAUCAGGAGGAACACCGGUGGCGAAGGCGGAUCUCUGGGCCGUAACUGACGCUGAGGAGCGAAAGCAUGGGUAGCGAACAGG